GGUGCCGUAGCUCAGGUGGUAGAGCGCGCGACUCAUAAUCGCGUUGUCGCUGGUUCGAGUCCAGCCGGCACCACCA
This 76-nucleotide transfer RNA is filed under the name Actinobacteria bacterium 13_1_20CM_2_65_11. Its description in RNAcentral is "tRNA-Met". It matches the Rfam family "tRNA". From Rfam's summary of the family: Transfer RNA (tRNA) molecules are approximately 80 nucleotides in length. Their secondary structure includes four short double-helical elements and three loops (D, anti-codon, and T loops). Further hydrogen bonds mediate the characteristic L-shaped molecular structure. tRNAs have two regions of fundamental functional importance: the anti-codon, which is responsible for specific mRNA codon recognition, and the 3' end, to which the tRNAs corresponding amino acid is attached (by aminoacyl-tRNA synthetases). tRNAs cope with the degeneracy of the genetic code in two manners: having more than one tRNA (with a specific anti-codon) for a particular amino acid; and 'wobble' base-pairing, i.e. permitting non-standard base-pairing at the 3rd anti-codon position. Lineage: Bacteria; Bacillati; Actinomycetota. The record is from RNAcentral. RNAcentral also lists the same sequence under 20 other names.